Molecule: ribosomal RNA, 183 nt
Filed under: Triticum aestivum (bread wheat)
Lineage: Eukaryota; Viridiplantae; Streptophyta; Magnoliopsida; Poales; Poaceae
Description: partial small subunit ribosomal RNA
Source: RNAcentral
AGAAAGGCGGAAAUCUCCUUGCAAAUGCUUGUCUGUUGGGAAAUCAGGAACGAGAGAAACGCUCGAGGCUUUCGCGACAAGGAAUCUCGGCCAACGAAAGUGGUGACAAUAAUCAAGGAGGUGGCCAAGACAUGGGUGAUAGCCGAGGCUAGAUCUUUAGGCAAUUUAAUUCCGGGAGAGUGA